Molecule: unclassified non-coding RNA, 336 nt
Filed under: soil metagenome
Description: partial contains 5.8S ribosomal RNA, internal transcribed spacer 2, and large subunit ribosomal RNA
Rfam family: 5.8S ribosomal RNA (bases 1-120)
Source: RNAcentral
GAUGAAGAACGUAGCGAAAUGCGAUAAGUAAUGUGAAUUGCAGAAUUCAGUGAAUCAUCGAAUCUUUGAACGCACAUUGCGCCCCUUGGUAUUCCAUGGGGCAUGCCUGUUCGAGCGUCAUUUGUACCUUCAAGCUUUGCUUGGUGUUGGGUGUUUGUCUCGCCUUUGCGUGUAGACUCGCCUUAAAAUAAUUGGCAGCCGGCGUAUUGAUUUCGGAGCGCAGUACAUCUCGCGCUUUGCACUCAUAACGACAGCGUCCAAAAGUACAUUUUACACUCUUGACCUCGGAUCAGGUAGGGAUAUCCGCUGAACUUAAGCAUAUCAAUAAGCGGAGGA